UUCUCGCCACCUCCUUCCCUACCGUACGCCGCCCCCGUUCCUCUCUAACCUAACACCAAGAACCGCUGCGCCGUUGCGCCACUGCCUCCAUCCACAACGUCCCACCACCCUCACGGCCUUCUCCAAUCUUGAUAUUCCAGGGAGGCAACGGGAAGGCUCCCACGGCAGCGGUUGCAGCGACCGGCAGAUGUUGGAUUCCCUCGAAUCCUCAAGUCGCCCACGCUGAGAGAAUGGGCACGAUAUGGAGAUGGGGUGAGGGACGGACGGGCAAGAGAACAGAGAGGAGCCAGCCGCCAGAGGAGGCGGCUCAAGAAUAACAUAUUGGAUGACAAAUUCUUUAGCAUCUCCAUCUGACUCCCAGAAAGUGCUUAUUCAAACCUGAAAUAUAUAGAAGUAACCAACUGAGAUUAUGCCAACUUCUUUUA
Molecule: long non-coding RNA, 425 nt
Organism: Triticum aestivum (bread wheat)
Lineage: Eukaryota; Viridiplantae; Streptophyta; Magnoliopsida; Poales; Poaceae
Exons: 3
Source: RefSeq, a predicted model, not a curated record